AGAGUGAACGCUGGCGGCGUGCCUAACACAUGCAAGUCGAACGAGAACGGAACUAGCUUGCUAGUUUGUCAGCUAAGUGGCGCACGGGUGAGUAAUAUAUAGUUAAUCUGCCCCAAAGAAGAGAAUAAUUGUUGGAAACGACUUGUAAUGCUCUAUAUGCCUUUAUCACAUAAGUGAGCAAGGGAAACAUUUAUGGCUUUGGGAUGAGACUGUACGGUAUCAGCUAGUUGGUGAGGUAAUGGCUCACCAAGGCUAUGACAUCUAACUGGUUUGAGAGGAUGAUCAGUCACACUGGAACUGAGACACGGUCCAGACUCCUACGGGAGGCAGCAGUGGGGAAUAUUGCACAAUGGACGAAAGUCUGAUGCAGCAACUCCGCGUGGAGGAUGACACAUUUCGGUGCGUAAACUCCUUUUAUAUGAGAAGAUAAUGACGGUAUCAUAUGAAUAAGCACCGGCUAACUCCGUGCCAGCAGCCGCGGUAAUACGGGGGGUGCAAGCGUUACUCGGAAUCACUGGGCGUAAAGAGCAUGUAGGCUGGUUUGUAAGUUGGAAGUGAAAUCCUAUGGCUUAACCAUAGAACUGCUUCCAAAACUGCAGACCUAGAAUAUGGGAGAGGUAGAUGGAAUUUCUGGUGUAGGGGUAAAAUCCGUAGAGAUCAGAAGGAAUACCGAUUGCGAAGGCGAUCUACUGGAACAUUAUUGACGCUGAGAUGCGAAAGCGAGGGGAGCAAACAGGAUUAGAUACCCUGGUAGUCCACGCCCUAAACGAUGCACACUAGUUGUUGCCUUGCUCGACAAGGCAGUAAUGCAGUUAACACAGUAAGUGUGCCGCCUGGGGAGUACGGUCGCAAGAUUA
This 857-nucleotide ribosomal RNA is filed under the name uncultured bacterium. RNAcentral's name for it is "bacterial SSU rRNA". It matches the Rfam family "Bacterial small subunit ribosomal RNA", at positions 26 to 896 of the family's 1533-position model. The record is from RNAcentral.